Molecule: long non-coding RNA, 321 nt
Filed under: Gossypium raimondii (Peruvian cotton)
Lineage: Eukaryota; Viridiplantae; Streptophyta; Magnoliopsida; Malvales; Malvaceae
Description: long non-coding RNA (GRAI_LNC007175)
Source: RNAcentral
GCAAGUCUUACGAUUUUAUAAUUCUUUCAUUUCAUGGAUUUGAUUUUUUUGGUGGAUACCGAGAUUCCUAUUAAAAUAAUUAGAAAUGAAGGAAAAAUGGAAUGGAAUAGGCAUAUAUUAAUUAAAUUAAUAAAAAAAGAAAAGAAAACCAAGUAAUCUUUUUUUUUGAACAUUCCAAAGAAGUAAUUCGUUGAGCAACUGACAGAUGAUCCAAAGAGUUCUAUGGUAACUUUUCUUCGUAUUUCGUUUCGAAAAAAGGGUAUACCCUGCCGAUUUUGAAUUUAACUUCUUUGAUCCAUGAUAUAAAAUGAGUCAAUAAAG